Molecule: ribosomal RNA, 507 nt
Filed under: uncultured bacterium
Lineage: Bacteria
Description: bacterial SSU rRNA
Rfam family: Bacterial small subunit ribosomal RNA
Source: RNAcentral
AGUGAACGCUGGCGGCAGGCCUAAUACAUGCAAGUCGAACGGCAGCACAGCAGAGCUUGCUCUGUGGGUGGCGAGUGGCGGACGGGUGAGGAAUACGUGGGAAUCUGCCCAGUCGUGGGGAUAACGUAGGGAAACUUACGCUAAUACCGCAUGCGCCCUUCGGGGGAAAGCCGGGGGACCUUCGGGCCUGGCGCGAUUGGAUGAGCCCACGUCGGAUUAGCUAGUUGGCGGGGUAAAGGCCCACCAAGGCGACGAUCCGUAGCUGGUCUGAGAGGAUGAUCAGCCACACUGGAACUGAGACACGGUCCAGACUCCUACGGGAGGCAGCAGUAGGGAAUAUUGGACAAUGGGCCCAAGCCUGAUCCAGCCAUGCCGCGUGAGUGAAGAAGGCCCUCGGGUUGUAAAGGCUCUUUUGUCCGGAAAGAAAAGCGCCGGGUUAAUACCCUGGUGUCCUGACGGUACCGGAAGAAUAAGCACCGGCUAACUUCGUGCCAGCAGCCGCGGUAA